RNAcentral lists this ribosomal RNA (327 nucleotides) under Citrobacter freundii. Its description in RNAcentral is "bacterial SSU rRNA". It matches the Rfam family "Bacterial small subunit ribosomal RNA", at positions 100 to 430 of the family's 1533-position model. Lineage: Bacteria; Pseudomonadati; Pseudomonadota; Gammaproteobacteria; Enterobacterales; Enterobacteriaceae. The record is from RNAcentral.
GGACGGGUGAGUAAUGUCUGGGAAACUGCCCGAUGGAGGGGGAUAACUACUGGAAACGGUAGCUAAUACCGCAUAACGUCGCAAGACCAAAGAGGGGGACCUUCGGGCCUCUUGCCAUCGGAUGUGCCCAGAUGGGAUUAGCUAGUAGGUGGGGUAACGGCUCACCUAGGCGACGAUCCCUAGCUGGUCUGAGAGGAUGACCAGCCACACUGGAACUGAGACACGGUCCAGACUCCUACGGGAGGCAGCAGUGGGGAAUAUUGCACAAUGGGCGCAAGCCUGAUGCAGCCAUGCCGCGUGUAUGAAGAAGGCCUUCGGGUUGUAAAG